RNAcentral lists this ribosomal RNA (653 nucleotides) under uncultured bacterium. RNAcentral's name for it is "bacterial SSU rRNA". It matches the Rfam family "Bacterial small subunit ribosomal RNA", at positions 202 to 842 of the family's 1533-position model. The record is from RNAcentral.
AAAAGGUGGCUAUGCUACCGCUUUUGGAUGGGCCCGCGGCGCAUUAGCUAGUUGGUGGGGUAAAGGCUUACCAAGGCAAUGAUGCGUAGCCGAACUGAGAGGUUGAUCGGCCACAUUGGGACUGAGACACGGCCCAAACUCCUACGGGAGGCAGCAGUAGGGAAUCUUCCACAAUGGGCGAAAGCCUGAUGGAGCAACGCCGCGUGGGUGAAGAAGGUCUUCGGAUCGUAAAACCCUGUUGUUAGAGAAGAAAGUGCGUGAGAGUAACUGUUCACGUUUCGACGGUAUCUAACCAGAAAGCCACGGCUAACUACGUGCCAGCAGCCGCGGUAAUACGUAGGUGGCAAGCGUUAUCCGGAUUUAUUGGGCGUAAAGGGAAUGCAGGCGGUCUUUUAAGUCUGAUGUGAAAGCCUUCGGCUUAACCGGAGUAGUGCAUUGGAAACUGGGAGACUUGAGUGCAGAAGAGGAGAGUGGAACUCCAUGUGUAGCGGUGAAAUGCGUAGAUAUAUGGAAGAACACCAGUGGCGAAAGCGGCUCUCUGGUCUGUAACUGACGCUGAGGUUCGAAAGCGUGGGUAGCAAACAGGAUUAGAUACCCUGGUAGUCCACGCCGUAAACGAUGAAUGCUAAGUGUUGGAGGGUUUCCGCCCUUCA